UGAGCAUUGUACUGAGGUCCUCCAUGGUC
RNAcentral lists this small RNA (29 nucleotides) under Bombyx mori (domestic silkworm). RNAcentral's name for it is "ovarian small RNA-32208". Lineage: Eukaryota; Metazoa; Arthropoda; Insecta; Lepidoptera; Bombycidae. The record is from RNAcentral.